GGCAGAAUCCGAGACCAGGGGGAAGAGUCGGUGGAAGAAGAUUGGAAGAAAUUUAAAGACUAUUUACAGAAAUAUUGUAAAAUUAAUGAAUGAUAGAAUGAUGUUGGAUAGUAAUUAAGUGGUUUCUAGCUGUAAUGCUUUAAGAGAAUAUGAAAAAAAGGGUGAUAAAUGGGUUAAAAUCUAAUGGCAAGGAUUUGCUGAACCAAUAAAUUGAAGUGGAAUACAAAAAAGGGAGGUACGAGGAGGUCCGGGAAAUAAGCUAAAG
Molecule: non-coding RNA, 265 nt
Organism: Podarcis lilfordi (Lilford's wall lizard)
Lineage: Eukaryota; Metazoa; Chordata; Lepidosauria; Squamata; Lacertidae
Source: the annotation of a GenBank genome assembly